UAGGGUUGAGGAAGAUGUGGGGA
This 23-nucleotide non-coding RNA is filed under the name Mus musculus (house mouse). The record is from RNAcentral. Lineage: Eukaryota; Metazoa; Chordata; Mammalia; Rodentia; Muridae.